Molecule: long non-coding RNA, 669 nt
Organism: Pseudopipra pipra
Lineage: Eukaryota; Metazoa; Chordata; Aves; Passeriformes; Pipridae
Exons: 3
Source: RefSeq, a predicted model, not a curated record
GCAAGUUUUAGGGAAGAAACGCCUGUAGUGAGUAAUCAGAAAAGAAGGGUGAAAGCCAAGAGCCUUUGACUUCCCCAGUGCACUUAAUUUUCUUGUUCUCCUCUCUUUCAGGACAGGGAAAAUCAUUGACUUGGGUCCAGCAAUGCCAUAUGUGUUGGGGUGUGAGCAGCCAAAGCAAAAGGCUCCAGCCCCACCGACCAGUGCUGGGUGCACCUGGUGCUGCCCGUGGGGUGGGUUUGGCAGGGCUGGGACAAGGAGGACUCGUGCGGGCACCUCCAGAGACAGCGGGAACGGGAGCGUGCUGCGGAGAAGGAAAGUUCCAGGGGAAUUGCCACGAGAGGAAAUACUUCAGAGGGGCUUCCCUCCGGAUAAGCCCUGAAUGUGCCAGGAGGUUUCAGCCGGGAGAAAGGAGCUGUGGAAGAAAAGCAGCCUAAAAAUAGCCAGUGGGGAUCAUCAGGUUUUCCAGGCAAGAAGAACAAGGAGAGAGAUGAGGGAAUCGGGUUCCAAUUCCUAAUGAUUUGGUGGGUGCAGGAAUGAUUUGUGUGUGUUUUCCAGUCCCUUUUGAUUCCUGAGAUGAUUUUAAAAUGAUGGCUUUAGCAAUCAACUAAAUCGGAGGUGUUGUUUUUGAGAGGAAAUGAUGCCAAAUAAAUGCAGAGUUUUGGGUCAGUU